AGUUUCCAGUACUGCAUCCCUUCAUGGAAUGGCUUCUGUUUUCCUGGGUGGAUCCUGACUGAAAGAAGGAGUUCAAAAUAGGUCGUAAAGCAGCAGAGAAGAUGACUCGCAACAUCAACAACGCAUUUGGCCCAGGCACUGCUAACGAAUGUACAGUGCAGUGGUGGUUCAAGAAGUUUUGCAAAGGAAACAAGAGCCUUGAAGAUGAGGAGUGUAGUGGCAGGCCGUUGGAAGAUGACAACGACCAAUGGAGAGCAAUCAUUGAAGCUGAUCCCCUUACAACUACAAGAGAAGUUGCUGAAGAACUCAGUGUCAACCAUUCUACGGUCGUUCAGCAUUUGAAGUAAGUUGGAAAGGUGAAAAAGCUCAAUAAGUGGGUGCCUCAUGAGCUAAGCGAAAAUCAAAAAAAUUGUCAUUUUGAAGUGUUGUCUUCUCUUAUUCUAUGCAACAAUGAACCAUUUCUCGAUCAGAUUGUGACAUGCCACUAAAAGUGGAUUUUAUACAACAGCCGGCGACGACCAGCUCAAUGGUUGGACCAAGAAGAAACUCCAAAACAGUUCCCAAAGCCAAACUCGCACCAAAAAAAGGUUAUGGUCACUGUUUGGUGGUCUACUGCUGGUCUGGUCUAAUCCACUUUAGAGUUCUGAAUCCCAGCGAAACCAUUACAUGUGUGAAGUAUGCUCAGCAAAGUGAUGAUAUACACUGAAAACUGCAAUGCCUACAGCCGGCAUUAGUCAACAGAGAGGGCCCAAUUCUUCUCCACAACAAUGCCCGACCACACAUUGCACAACCAACGCUUCAAAAGUUGAACGAAUUGUACUACAAAAUUUUGCCUCAUCUGCCACAUUCACCUGACCUCUCACCAACCAACUACCACUUCUUCAAACAUCUCAACAACGUUUUGCAGGGAAGACAAUCCACAAUGAGCAGGAUGCAGAAAAUGCUUUCCAAGAGUUUGUCAAAUUCCAAA
Molecule: unclassified non-coding RNA, 970 nt
Filed under: Homo sapiens (human)
Lineage: Eukaryota; Metazoa; Chordata; Mammalia; Primates; Hominidae
Description: novel transcript (ENSG00000290621.1)
Source: RNAcentral